UCAAACAACACGUUGUUUUCAUUGCUCAUUAGCGGCGACAGCGCGAGUUUAAUUAGCAUUGACGUUACGUCUGAUACUCAUUACGGAACGGCGAAAAAAGGGUAAAGGCAAAUUGCUGCUGGCAGUUGCUGCCAAACUUCAAUAUAAUUAGACGCAAGCCGCUAGCAACACCUUGGCCAAAAAAUAACCAGAAAGUGGCCAAGAAAAAUGGCAAAACACUUUGAUUCAAUCAGCCCCAAAAAAUCCAACGCAAUCGAGGGUUGUACUGGCAAAAACUAAUUGCCUUUUCGACAUGCAUUUAAUCUCUAUUAGAGAACACACAAAAUUGAUGGAAAAGUUUUUGGCGUGGCCGCAUGUGUGAACCCGCCUGACUCCCUGGAGUCCCAUGUGCAAGUCCAGGUCCAGAAUCAGUGGCCACUCCACUCCUGAGUCUGGCUAGUCGGGCACCUUUGCCUGUUGCCGCUUGCUCUUUGCCGUUUCAUAAAUUAUUAAGGGGUUUGUUUUCCACACGCCACUUGGCCUUUUGUCCAUUUUUGGCAUUUAAAACAAAUUGUUGUUGCACGUUAGUUCGAUUAUUUUUGCCAGAGGGUGGCAAAACUUUUGCUCCGGCCAUCCUGUGUGCUGAUAAUGACGGAAGUCAUCACGUCUGAGGCUGGCAGCUCCGGCUCCAACUCCAACUCCAGCUUUAACUGAUAGAUGCCAAUUGGCUGGAAGGAUCCUAGUACCGAAGCGAAGCCAUCGUGUGCAGCAGCUGUGGCGACUGCUGAUGACCUUUUAAUUGAAGUGCCGGCAGCCAAGUGAGAUGCUGGAACAUUGCUGUGGCCGGGGCCUAACUUUGUUACCAUUGGAAAUUCGGAAAUUUGGCCAACUCCAAUUCAAGCUGCUCAGUCGAGCACACAAAAAUGCAAAUAAACGCACAUAAAACAAUUUGAAAUCAAAUUUGAUGAUAAAACCAAAGCCAAGCCAGGCCAAGCCGCGGGAAUCCUUUAAUAAACAGCCAAACAAAAAUUGAACACACAAAAUGUAAGUAGGCAAAUUCCGCGUAGCCAGCCACGCCCAUUUGCCGUUAAUUAAACCCUUCGCUGAAGAAAAUCUUUUGGCCAACCACGGCGAAAGUUUUUCCAUUAGAGCCAACGGGAACGGGAACGGGGCCUCGACCGGGUCUGGGGCCAUUGACGUUGCCGUUGCCGCCAGGCAAACGGAAUCAAAAAGUAAAAAUUUAUGAAGCGUUUAAUUGAAUUAAUUAAAAGCAAUAAUACCUUGAAAUAAUUGCGCCUAAUAGAAAAAGUUUUGCAUCGCUGGAGUUGAAGCUGCGACUGGCCGCAAUUCCAAGUGCCAAAUGUAGCUGUCGACUGACAAUGGGCUAACCUUUUGGCCACUUUUUGCCACUGGCAUCUUUUGACAUACGCCCAGGGGCGGAAGGCGGUUGGUCGGU
This is a long non-coding RNA of Drosophila montana, 1435 nucleotides long. RefSeq lists it as uncharacterized. The transcript is spliced from 3 exons. NCBI's taxonomy places the organism in Eukaryota, Metazoa, Arthropoda, Insecta, Diptera, Drosophilidae. The record is from RefSeq and is a predicted model, not a curated record.